Molecule: unclassified non-coding RNA, 1955 nt
Filed under: Leishmania donovani
Lineage: Eukaryota; Euglenozoa; Kinetoplastea; Trypanosomatida; Trypanosomatidae
Description: gene:LdHU3.04.1390(CDS-product:cytochrome_c_oxida se_assembly_factor_putative)
Source: RNAcentral
CAUUAAAUCCUCACCGGCUGCCGAACGGGCCGUCUUCGUCAUCUGCCGCCCCCUCUCCCCCUCUCACUCUUUUCUCUACUCCCAUCUCCACUACCGAACGUUUUGGGGGUGCGUGCGAGUAAAGCAGCGGAGGCAGACACAGCAGUACAGCAAGGACGGCUGGUGCAGAGUCGGCGGUGCCAUAAAGCUCCGAGCGAGAUAACUCAGCGGUGAGGGCAAGCCGACACGCCCACCCUCACCUGUAUACGCACGCACACGUGCACGACAAGGAAGGUGAGGGAGGGUUGCUGAUCCAGAUCGCGACGCCGGAGCGCAGGGAAAGGCAUGCAUCGCUCACUUCUGCGGUGUGCCGUCCGUGGGGAGUCGAUGAUGGAGUCGUAUCGCUCUGACGCUCUACUGCGCCUUCGAUGCCAUUUUGGUGCCAUGCGACGCGGCUCUCCGAUGGGUUCGGCCGCCACCGAAGCUGCCGCCCUUGUGAACAUCACGAUAACGCCGCUUACGUGCAGCCGUCGCGCUUUCCGCCAGCAGGGCGCAGCCAACCCAAACAACCCCGACGCGACCGAGGCGGCGGAGCUCGAGAAAGACUGGCAGGCGUUGAAGACGUACGGCAUGAUAGGAGGCUUUGCUCUUCUCUGCAUCGCGACGCUGUGGUACGGAAGCCGCCAAGCCAAGAAGCGCUACUUCGGUGCGGAGGGCAGCGCGCGGGUCAGCGUCGAAACGCGUGGCCGCCCCGCGCUCGGUGGGCCGUUUGUGCUGGUGAACACGAAGGGUGAGCCAGUGUCGCAGGCGGAAUUCCUCGGCUCAUGGGCCUUCUUUUACUUCGGCUUCACUCACUGCCCGGAGAUCUGCCCGGUCGAGCUGAACCGCAUGUCGCACGUCGUCGACGCUGUCCGCGCUGCCCGCCCGCAGGAGCGCAUUGCGCCGUUGUUUGUCUCGUGCGACCCGCGCCGUGACUCGCUCGAGGCCAUCGACGAGUACCUCUCCGUGUUCCACCCCGACUUCAUUGGGCUCGUUGGCACGCCGAAGCAGGUGAACGACGCAUGCCGCUCGUACCGCAUCUACUACUCCAUCCCCACCGAAGAGGACGCCGAGCAGGAGGACUACCUGAUCGACCACAGCAUUGCCAUCUUCCUCUUCGAUCCACAGGGCCGCUUCGUCGACUUCUUCGGAAACCGCUACGACGAGCGCGAGAUUACGGAGAAGGUGCUGCACUACAUGUCCGAGUACGCCAAGGAUCCGACGUGGACAAACUGGUAAGGACGGGUGAGGCAAGACGCUGCCGGUCUCUCUCUUAUCAUGUCACUUGCGCUGGUUGGCCUCUUGCUCCUUCUUGUGUGGUGAUUAUGAUGAUAGCGUUGUUUCUGUGGUGGACUGCACCGGUGGUCUUUCUCUCCGCAUGUAUGUCGCGCGUUGCGCAUGUGCCUGAACGCGACUCUGCACGUGCUUGACUCGGGGUGAGAACUGUCUACACACUCUCUCGAUUAACAGCAACACAAAGAGUGAGCAACUCGUCGAUUUCAGCCCACACGUCCACCACCACCACCGCCACCACUCGCGCCGCCCUUCCCCUUUUUCGCGGGCUGCACGCCCCCCUCCCCUCCCUCCCUUCCUCUCGCUCUCGCUCGACACGGUGCGCGCUUCCUCGCACUGGCACGCGCAGAGCUACAGUCACAGAUACAAACACGAAAGGGGCAUGCACGCGGGCGCCGGAGACUUGGGAUAGGGCUGCAGGUGCGUACGUUCCGCUUGCACCGCUUCUGCGAUGCACACCUUUUGCGACCCCCACCCACACACCUCCUUCUCCUGCCGGCAUCGCGUUCAAGCCAUCAUGCCGAUGUCUGCGUGGACAUGUGCGGGCGCGUAUGUCGUCGUGGAAGGGACAUGUGUCAUGGAAACCACCCUCUCAAACUCACUCGUGCAUCUCUCUCGCGCAUACUUCUCGUUGACCGCUGCAG